Molecule: ribosomal RNA, 1038 nt
Filed under: Microbacterium sp.
Lineage: Bacteria; Bacillati; Actinomycetota; Actinomycetes; Micrococcales; Microbacteriaceae
Description: bacterial SSU rRNA
Rfam family: Bacterial small subunit ribosomal RNA
Source: RNAcentral
GCGGGGGGGCGUGCCUUACACAUGCAAGUCGAACGGUGAAAGCGGAGCUUGCUCCGCUGGAUCAGUGGCGAACGGGUGAGUAACACGUGAGCAACCUGCCCCGGACUCUGGGAUAACAGUUGGAAACAGCUGCUAAUACUGGAUACGAGCUGCGAAGGCAUCUUCAGCAGCUGGAAAGAACUUCGGUCCGGGAUGGGCUCACGGCCUAUCAGCUUGUUGGUGAGGUAACGGCUCACCAAGGCGUCGACGGGUAGCCGGCCUGAGAGGGUGACCGGCCACACUGGGACUGAGACACGGCCCAGACUCCUACGGGAGGCAGCAGUGGGGAAUAUUGCACAAUGGGCGAAAGCCUGAUGCAGCAACGCCGCGUGAGGGACGACGGCCUUCGGGUUGUAAACCUCUUUUAGCAGGGAAGAAGCGAAAGUGACGGUACCUGCAGAAAAAGCGCCGGCUAACUACGUGCCAGCAGCCGCGGUAAUACGUAGGGCGCAAGCGUUAUCCGGAAUUAUUGGGCGUAAAGAGCUCGUAGGCGGUUUGUCGCGUCUGCUGUGAAAACCCGAGGCUCAACCUCGGGCCUGCAGUGGGUACGGGCAGACUAGAGUGCGGUAGGGGAGAUUGGAAUUCCUGGUGUAGCGGUGGAAUGCGCAGAUAUCAGGAGGAACACCGAUGGCGAAGGCAGAUCUCUGGGCCGUAACUGACGCUGAGGAGCGAAAGGGUGGGGAGCAAACAGGCUUAGAUACCCUGGUAGUCCACCCCGUAAACGUUGGGAACUAGUUGUGGGGACCAUUCCACGGUUUCCGUGACGCAGCUAACGCAUUAAGUUCCCCGCCUGGGGAGUACGGCCGCAGGCUAAAACUCAAAGGAAUUGACGGGGACCCGCACAAGCGGCGGAGCAUGCGGAUAAUCGAUGCAACGCGAAGAACCUUACCAGGCUUGACAUAAUACGAGAACGCUCUGGAAACAGAGACUCUUGGACCUCGUAACAGUGUGCAUGAUGUCGUCAGCUCGAGUCCUGAGAAUGUUGGUUAAGUCCGCAAC